GUUUUGCCUAUCUAUCUGUGUCCUAUUUUCUUGAGCAGGGGUAAUGAUGAGGUUGAAAAUCCACUUAAAUGUUAACUCUUACCCCUUUUUCCUUUGACUUUUUUUUUUUCCUUUUUUCCCUGUGCACAACUCUAAGAUUUUCUUUAGAGCUGAACUGCCACUUGAAUGAUUUCAGCCCCAGGGGUAAGGUUAAUUUGGAAAAAUUUGAGCUAUGUCACUUGAGGUGUUUUUGAAUUAGGCAAAUUGGGAGAAAAGAAAGACCUUUUGCCUGGACUGUCUAACUGUACCACGGUUAAUUACAAGAUGCAGAGGCUUAUAAUCUUCGGGGAAAAAAAGCCGCCUUAGGAUAAUUGCAUUCUUUUCUGUAUGACCUCAGAAAUCCCUCUAUGAUGUUGCCUCAUUUUUAAUUAAUGGUGAAUUGUCUAACAUUUGGGAUGUAGAUUUGGACUUUAGCUGAGCUACAUUAAGCACCAGAAAUAGGAAAUGAGACUUGCUUCCAAAGGAGUACCUCACUACUUAUGCUGCAUUUUAUGUGACCUGACAGUUGAAGGGUUAUCCAAGGGAAAUCUUGGCUCCAGACUUGCUUUACGUUUUAUCCAAGAAAGAGUUAAAAUUCAGCAUGGGGGGGUGGGGAAAUAUGUUCCACACAAAAAUGAAGAGUUCAGAAUUGUCCAGACCAGAAUAAUGAUUUUAAUUGUCUUCAAAACAAUUAUGGACAAUUACAUUAAAUCUCAAAUUAGCUAGUACAUGAAGUUCUUCAUUACAUCAGGACUGGUCCACCCCAGAUGUUCAUCCUGUGUAGGAGACAGUUGAGAAUCAGUGAGUCUGGACACAGGAUUUCUCCCUUCCCUUGCCCUUUGCUUCAUUGGCAGCUACUGUACCUCAUGAUUUAAACAUGGACAUUUCUAAUUAAAUGAGAGCUCAGCUGCAUUCUUGAACUAAUUUAUAACAUUUGAUUUGAAA
This 963-nucleotide long non-coding RNA is filed under the name Homo sapiens (human). Its description in RNAcentral is "HSALNT0045642". Lineage: Eukaryota; Metazoa; Chordata; Mammalia; Primates; Hominidae. The record is from RNAcentral.